RNAcentral lists this ribosomal RNA (503 nucleotides) under uncultured bacterium. RNAcentral's name for it is "partial 16S ribosomal RNA". It matches the Rfam family "Bacterial small subunit ribosomal RNA", at positions 30 to 523 of the family's 1533-position model. The record is from RNAcentral.
AUUGAACGCUGGCGGCAGGCUUAACACAUGCAAGCCGAGCGGAGUGAUGGUGCUUGCACUAUCACUUAGCGGCGGACGGGUGAGUAAUGCUUAGGAAUCUGCCUAUUAGUGGGGGACAACAUCUCGAAAGGGAUGCUAAUACCGCAUACGUCCUACGGGAGAAAGCAGGGGAUCACUUGUGACCUUGCGCUAAUAGAUGAGCCUAAGUCGGAUUAGCUAGUUGGUGGGGUAAAGGCCUACCAAGGCGACGAUCUGUAGCGGGUCUGAGAGGAUGAUCCGCCAGACUGGGCCUGAGACACGGCACAGACUCCUACGGGAGGCAGCAGUGGGGAAUAUUGGACAAUGGGGGGAACCCUGAUCCAGCCAUGCCGCGUGUGUGAAGAAGGCCUUAUGGUUGUAAAGCACAUUAAGCGAGGAGGAGGCUCUUUUGGUUAAUACCCAAGAUGAGUGGACGUUACUCGCAGAAUAAGCACCGGCUAACUCUGUGCCAGCAGCCGCCGUAA